CAGCCGCCGCGGUAAAACGGAGGGAGCUAGCGUUGUUCGGAAUUACUGGGCGUAAAGCGCACGUAGGCGGCUUUGUAAGUUAGAGGUGAAAGCCUGGAGCUCAACUCCAGAAUUGCCUUUAAGACUGCAUCGCUUGAAUCCGGGAGAGGUGAGUGGAAUUCCGAGUGUAGAGGUGAAAUUCGUAGAUAUUCGGAAGAACACCAGUGGCGAAGGCGGCUCACUGGACCGGCAUUGACGCUGAGGUGCGAAAGCGUGGGGAGCAAACAGGAUUAGAUACCCGCGUAGUCCCUGUCUCUUAUAC
This 301-nucleotide ribosomal RNA is filed under the name uncultured bacterium. RNAcentral describes it as "partial 16S ribosomal RNA". It matches the Rfam family "Bacterial small subunit ribosomal RNA", at positions 509 to 807 of the family's 1533-position model. The record is from RNAcentral.